Amphiprion ocellaris (clown anemonefish) is the source of this 1335-nucleotide long non-coding RNA. The record is from Ensembl. Lineage: Eukaryota; Metazoa; Chordata; Actinopteri; Pomacentridae.
AUCCCUCCAUCCCUCCCUCCCAAACCCAUGCUCUGCAAAGGGGAGAUUGACACAGCAUUUUUGCUCAGGAGAGUGCGCACAGACAGGAUUACAGUCGGGAAGGAGGCAGCGGAGGACAAUAAAGGAUUAAAAGAGAGAAACAACAAGGAUAAAACAAUGUGUGAGCGAUGAAGGAGAACCUAGGAGGAGAAACUAAAAGAAAGGAAGAAUGAAAGAAGGGAUCACACAUCACAUGAAUCCAAGGGUUGCGGGACCUUUGCCCUGGACAGUGAAAGUGGAAUUCUGAAAAGUGAAGUGGCGGCACACGAGGAAUUCAAAUAACAACCAGAAAGAGACAGAAAGUAACAGCUAAUUUGCAGGUUAAAUCAGAGGGAAAUCUCUGCUUCUGCAGCCUUGAGAAAGUGAAAAGAAAGGCCUCAUUGUAUCUGAAAGAGUCAAGAGGAGGAACAGGAGACAAGGAAUGCUGUAAAUAAAUUCUUAGCUUAUGGCUUCAAAAAGUCCUGUGAUUCCAUUCUUUAUAAUAAUACAAAUACAACUUUAUUCAAAGAAAACAUAUCAGAUUCAAAACAUCAUAGUAGUACACAAAAUGUACAUCAUCACUGAGAAACUUUAAUAUAAAGUCUUUUUGUUGUGUGCAUGAGGCACAAAUCAACUGUUUGCCUCGAUUACAUCAAUCUGACCUCGUCUUGUCUCACACCAGACAGCCUCGAUUGCUGUUUUAUGGCCACCUUAAAAGCAUUAUCAAUCAAAAAUGGGAACAAAUAAACACACUGAGACAUUUUACCUCCAACAAAAUGAUUCAUUAUGCUUUGAUAAUAGCUACACAGUACGGAACCGUGAAGUAGGUCAAACAUUGGACCAUCAUCUACGGACAGUCAGUAGACUAUUAGUGAGCUGCUGCUAAUGAGCUGUUCAUUGUCUCUCUUUGUUUGUUUGUCCAGCAAACAAAGAUUCAGGGUCGCAUCCAGAACAUUCAGAUCUACAGAUUGGAAAAAGAAGCAAAGUAAAUGAAAAAUUUCCUUAUUAACCCUCGUGUCGUCCUGCGGGCCAAAAUUGACCCGUUUUAAAGUUUGAAAAUGUGGGGAAAAAAAAAACUCACAGUGAAACUUCUGAUGUCCACAAUUUCAACAUUUUUGGGAAAUCUUUGAACAUUUUUUUGGUGGAAAUUCCGCUGGAUUUUGGUUGAUUUUUAUGUGAAUGUUCUUAAAGAAAAUAUUAGAAGUUUUACUGAUAAAUAUGGAAUCAUUUUAGAUGUUUUUAGGAAUUUUUUUGGAAGAUUUUUACUCAUUUCUUGAAAGUAUUUUCAAGAAUUUUCUUGCCAAUUUUGGGGGAUUU